Microcebus murinus (gray mouse lemur) is the source of this 3545-nucleotide non-coding RNA. The record is from RefSeq and is a predicted model, not a curated record. NCBI's taxonomy places the organism in Eukaryota, Metazoa, Chordata, Mammalia, Primates, Cheirogaleidae.
CCCGGAGGUGGAAGCCUUGCCAAGUUCCCGGCAAGCGGAGCGGCGAGGGUGAGGACCCACUGGAAGUCAACGGCCUCGCCGGCGGCCUCCCAGCAGCUCCAAAACCGAGCUGUCGGCUGCGGCGACAACGGCAGUUGUGGAGGCUGCCUUGGCUUGGGCAGCAACUGAGGCCACCCCAGGCGGAGCGGAGGCCUUGAUGGAAUCUUGAUCCCGGGCGAGACACGAAUCAAGAGGAGGCGGAGGGUCAUGCCCCUGGAAGACAAGAUGAGUAUUCUCGAAGCUGGACGAAGGCGUGAGUCAGAGGGAAGUGUGUGUCCUGCCUUUUUGGGGUUAAUCAGUCGACAGUGCGCACCAUUAAAAAAAACGAGAGGGCUAUCGGGCCAGCGUGGAGAGUAUGGCACUCAUAUGCUCCAAGCUGCUGUGCUUUCCCCGUGAUGUAAACAUCGAGAAGAUGGAGACCCGGUUAACUUUUUGGGCGGACGAUCAGACCAUGGCCGGGGGAGGGGGUGGGACGGUAUCUGACUCCAAAGGCUAUUUGCUACUGGGCCAAACAUAUCUGUAAGGAAGUGGUGGAAAUCUCUGGGGUGGGCAACCUAGAUGAGUUACAUGCGAGCAAGGAAUGGCUUGAGAACUUUAAACAUCGCUACUGUCUGUGAAAUAUGAGGUUGAUGAGGUAGGAAGGACAGUUAAAUGUUGAAUUGGUAUCCCAGUAUUCCAAGUGACUGGAGAGACUGAUCAGAAAACUAGAGGCUCUCUGUACCUCAGCAGAUCCUCAACGCCAAGGAAAGGAGCCUAUUUUGGAAGUGCUUGUUUUCACAUACUUUUAGGGAAAAAGACAAAAAUCCGGAAAGAUUAGAGGAAGCUAAGAACAAGAUUUCUCUCAUUUUUUUGGUGCCAGUGCCUCAGGUGACAAAAUGAUAAAAACCACUGCAGCUUUACAAAGACUCUAAUCCCACUUGUCUUUUGGAAAGAGCUAAAAAAUACCUUCCUGUUUUCUAGUGAUCACAUCCCAUAGUAUCAGUAACUGCUGCCUUCUUUUUGGGUUGUUUUCAUAAUUGUUUUAUCUAUUAGGUCUGAAGUUAUUUAACAAAGAAAUCUGGAAUUCAGAGUGUUGCUAAUUGUGGACAGAGGUCCCAGUCAUCCAGAUUCAUUAUUCUUUGCUCUUUCUAAUGUUUAUAUUGUAUUUCUCCCUCAGGAAGGCACUAGCUUUCUCCAGGCCCUGGAUCUAGGUAUAAUUGAAGCAUUCAGGAGAUACUACACCAAGCGUAUAUGUUUGACCCCUUGCUGACUGUGUUGAAAAAAACCCUCCCCUUAGUUUAAAAGAAACAUGGCAACAUUACAACAUUACUGUUUCUUCAGUAGUGAUAAAAGAGGUAGUAAUAAAAGAGGUAAUAGAUGAUAGAUAGCCAGCUGCUCUUAAUAAAACAUGGUGGAAACUUUGAGAGCAUGUUGUGAAUGAUUAUGCAUAUUUUUCUAGAACUGAUGAAGUUAAAAAAUCACAGUGUUUGCAAAACAGAUUUUUUAAUUCAUCAAUAUCAAGGAAAGUGAAAUUAAUGAGCUACUUAAGUUUCAAUCUUUGGUGAUAAAUAAAGCAAAAGAGUUGAAGAAAGAAGGAAGGCAAAUGAUAAAGAGGAAGUAGUGUGGGUGAAGGAGAUGGAUACAGAAUCUGAGUCUGAGUCCCAAUCAGAAUCUGAUAAGGAACAGGAGAAGGUAGAGGAUAAGAAGCACCUGGACCCUCCAGCAGCAGCACUCAGGGUCUUGAUAUAUCUGAAGAAAAUGCUCAAGAAGUGAAUACAGAAUUGAACUUUGGACUCUGACCUUGAAAAUGAAUCUAGAGAGAGUAGAGGUAACUACCUCCAGAGGCUGGUUUUCCAAUAAUAGUUCAUCUCCUGCCAUCCUUCUCUUGUUACCCCAACACAUCACCUUCAUCACUGCCAUCAUCCUAAUCAUCACCAGCCACACAUCCAUAUCAUUUAGUCAUUCAACAAACAUUGAGCUUAAAUUCUGCAGGGUCUUGAGCUAACCUUGGGGACAUCAUCUAAAGAUAUCAUCUCUGGAUCUGAGAUCCUGACAGCUUCUUUCCUGACAUACCCCAUGCUCAUGCUCAGGACCCUUAGCCUGCAGCUGUGUCUUUGGCACUCAUUCUAUCGUCUUUGUCAACUGUCCCAACGAGCAAAUUGCCAGAGACAUUACCAGGCAGCCUCCUACAGGAAGGCCUCCAGCUCACAGUGGAACUGAUACUACAGUCUACCUUAUUCUGUUCUCACCUCUCCUCAGGAGACCGAAAGCACCUCCAGGCAUUUUCCUCCUCCCUUGUACACUGCUGAAGUGACUCAGACACAGCACUGCCUUCAGGGGACAGUCUACAGGGAGGGCUGAAGGCCUCAUGUACUGAAGAGUCUGGGCCUCAAACCCUGAGCAUGUGGAAGGGAGGCCUCCCAACACUUGGGGAAGUUGAAGAAGCUGAGGUAAUUAAACCCCUGUGAGAGACAAGGUGGGUCAAGUGAGUACCCAAGUUACUCAGCUGGGCUGUAACUACUGCCUCUGGACCCUUAGUUAUCCACAGACCUUGGGGCUGAGAUUCAAGACUUCAGAGGGUCCCGGAGGCUGCAUUUCCUGAGGGCAGACACUCGUCUGUGUUUCCUUCCACAAUGCCUGGUGCAGUCAGCCCAAGGGAGCAGGCUACAUGGAGGCCCAGGUUGGCAAGGAAGGAUCAAAGACUCUUGCCCCACCCAGGGCAAGGAUCCCCUCCAAGCAUCCCCAAUAUGCAGGACCCCCAGCUCCUGUUUGCACUUCUCCAGGGAAAAGGAUUUUAAUAUUUCACCAAUAGCCUGUUACAUUGGCUUUGACGAUGAAAAGGUUAUCUUGGCUUCCAUACAUUAGUAGCCCGACCACCAUCACAUUUUUAAAGUGCUUACCAAGUGCCAGAUGAGGAAAUAGGCUCAGCAAGCAGUGGAACCUGGCCAAGGACAGACAGCCGGUACGUGGCAGAGGCGCCCUCUGUCUCCAAAGCCCAGGGGCUUGGAGAAGAAUCAGUCUGCACUGGCCAUUCUUGGACAAAGGGGCAAUUUGAAAGCCCUACGAACUGGCUGGGUUCCGUGGCCUCUACUUGGCAGGCUUCUUGGAAUCAUCUCUUACGGCCCUCAGCGCACUUUUCUAAACAGCUGGUUGGAUGGUGUUGGCUCUAAGAACGGCACCUGCAAAACCAGGCUCUGGCUUCUCUCGCUGCCAGCGGAACCAGAGGGAAUUCCCCGGCAAUGCCCCCUCCAUCACCGGUCUGAGCGCCAGGCUGGAGGAUGGGCAGAGAGACGCCGAGCCUAGGACCAGGGGCCCGAGAGGAAAGGUUUACCCUCUUGAUCUUCCCGAGGUAAUACAGUCCGUCUGUCCACCGGCACAGCACAUACUGGCCCUCCGUCAGCUUGGACAUCAGGUCUUUGAAGUUGUUCUUGGCCUUCGCCAGGGCCCCCUUGUUGGGGAGGUGGCUGGUGGCACCAUAGGAGUCCCGAGUCCCUGGAUCCAGAGCUCGAUUCUCCAUCAGCUUCCAC